This 427-nucleotide ribosomal RNA is filed under the name uncultured bacterium. Its description in RNAcentral is "partial 16S ribosomal RNA". It matches the Rfam family "Bacterial small subunit ribosomal RNA", at positions 355 to 774 of the family's 1533-position model. The record is from RNAcentral.
UGGGGAAUAUUGCACAAUGGGCGCAAGCCUGAUGCAGCCAUGCCGCGUGUAUGAAGAAGGCCUUCGGGUUGUAAAGUACUUUCAGCGGGGAGGAAGGGAGUAAAGUUAAUACCUUUGCUCAUUGACGUUACCCGCAGACGAAGCACCGGCUAACUCCGUGCCAGCAGCCGCGGUAAUACGGAGGGUGCAAGCGUUAAUCGGAAUUACUGGGCGUAAAGCGCACGCAGGCGGUUUGUUAAGUCAGAUGUGAAAUCCCCGGGCUCAACCUGGGAACUGCAUCUGAUACUGGCAAGCUUGAGUCUCGUAGAGGGGGGUAGAAUUCCAGGUGUAGCGGUGAAAUGCGUAGAGAUCUGGAGGAAUACCGGUGGCGAAGGCGGCCCCCUGGACGAAGACUGACGCUCAGGUGCGAAAGCGUGGGGAGCAAACA